CUAGACGCAUGUCUAGAGUUUAAAAGAUGGUUCUGCUAUCACUCUUGGAUGGACCUGCGGUGCAUUAGCUAGUUGGUAAGGUAACGGCUUACCAAGGCAAUGAUGCAUAGCCGAGUUGAGAGACUGAUCGGCCACAUUGGGACUGAGACACGGCCCAAACUCCUACGGGAGGCAGCAGUAGGGAAUCUUCCACAAUGGACGCAAGUCUGAUGGAGCAACGCCGCGUGAGUGAAGAAGGGUUUCGGCUCGUAAAGCUCUGUUGGUAGUGAAGAAAGAUAGAGGUAGUAACUGGCCUUUAUUUGACGUAAUACUAGAAAUCACGC
RNAcentral lists this ribosomal RNA (323 nucleotides) under Lactobacillus gasseri. Its description in RNAcentral is "bacterial SSU rRNA". It matches the Rfam family "Bacterial small subunit ribosomal RNA", at positions 182 to 491 of the family's 1533-position model. Lineage: Bacteria; Bacillati; Bacillota; Bacilli; Lactobacillales; Lactobacillaceae. The record is from RNAcentral.